Molecule: long non-coding RNA, 1611 nt
Organism: Schistocerca serialis cubense
Lineage: Eukaryota; Metazoa; Arthropoda; Insecta; Orthoptera; Acrididae
Exons: 3
Source: RefSeq, a predicted model, not a curated record
UUAACGUCUUUGCCGUUGAAUUUGUGUGUGCUGUGUGAGUGUGACCGUAUGUGUGAACAACCGCGAAGUUAUCGAUUGAUCAUUGCACACAGUUUUCCGAAAUAGCGAAGUGGGAAGGCGUUUCAGUACAUCUGUGUUUCGCUAGUGGAGUUUCGUGCCGCAUAUCUGCAACUUGAAAGCUCAAAGUUGUUUCUCGAUUCUGUUAUUUACACGUUCGUCAUGAGCGCCAUCGGUGGUAAUGAUGAAAUGGUAACGAGUAGACUGAAAGCCUUAACAGAUAAGCUUGAAGAAAUGGAUGCAAAUUUAUUGAGAGUUAAGAGGGAAUAUAAAGAAUUUCUGGAACUUAACAGGACUGUUUGCAGUUAUAUUCAAGCCUCCAUCAGAAGUGUCAGCUACGAUGAAGACAAUCCUGACACACGAAACGCUGGGAGUCAGCUACGAUGAAGAAAAUCCUGACACACGAAACGCUGGAAGUUAAUAAAACAGAAUUUUGGUGCAUUUCGUUGGUAUUAUCAGUUCUGAAUUUGUGCACACUCAGCGGCAAGCAAUGUAUCGAGAUGUUCAAAAAUUAAAAUUUGUUUCCGAUACCUCAGUAAUUGCUUCUACAUCAGGUUCUUUAUUUGGGAUGUCGUUUUAUUUGUGAAAUGACAUUAAUUACGGUUAACAGUGUGGUGAUAAUGCAAUUUCUGUAGAGGUAUGUAAGUAAUUCCAGGCCUUGUUGUCUUUCAUGUGUAAACGAAAAGUUGAUUGUGACUGCGACAUGCAACGUGCACGAAAAUGUUUCCAUGUUUGUUCCAGUGCAGCCUGAUGAAGACAGUUCCAUAAGUAGAGAAGCAUAAUUGCAAUACUGUAUGUUAAUGGAUGGAAGAGGUGAAAUAUCCACAACAUGUGUGAUGGUCUCUGUACUUUAAGUUGGCUUUGAUAUGAGGCUGUUAAAGUAGGCUUAGCUUACAAGCUGAUAGAUCUUGCACAUAUACUUAUUCAAAUUUCAAUGGAUAUACUUGUUAAUAUGCAGCUUACAGCUUUUAGUGAGUUUGAGUAUAUGUGAUUUUUAUUGUGAAGGUGUCUGCUUUGCUUUAUAUUAGUGUCAAGAAGUUGCAUGUAAUGAGACUGAAAUAAAAAUAUAUGGACACAAUUGUUUGUUGCAUAAUGCUGACUUUUUUCACGUUAUUCCUUCACAGAGAAACCAAAAAGAGUCUAAAAUGAUGAUCUGAUAAUAGAAUAACCAAAUAAAUGGAAAAAUGGCGUUUCAUGUGAUGAAUAUGUGCCUUAGGAUAAUCUUACUGUCAGUGAAUUUGCUCGUAGAUUUGAUGCAUCUUGUGGAAAAACAAAUUUUUCUUCUUUUAUCUGGACAUGGGUCUCUGAAGUAACAGCACAAGUGCUUUUUUUAUUUAUUAUUAUUUUUUUUUGGCACAUGUUGUGGUUUUGUGUUUUGCAAAACAGUUGUGAUUUUUUUUCAGUUUCAUUUGUGCUUGUUACAAGUUUCACUUUAAAAAUUGCAGUUUUUCAUGGUGAAGAUUAUGAGGAAACAAAAAAAGACAAACUGUGUAAGAAAAAUGUAGAGAACCAUAGCGUGUGGUAACAAGAAAGGAAAUAAACUGAUUCUGUAAC